This 250-nucleotide long non-coding RNA is filed under the name Scleropages formosus (Asian bonytongue). RNAcentral describes it as "lncRNA (ENSSFOG00015026329.1)". Lineage: Eukaryota; Metazoa; Chordata; Actinopteri; Osteoglossiformes; Osteoglossidae. The record is from RNAcentral.
ACCGUUGGUCUGGAGAGCGACACCUGAGGGGAUCGACUGGUAAUUAAGUAGAAGAAAUAAGAUAGAAGACUCAAAUGAUCUGAUCACAGAAAAUGGACACAGUGAGCACUGUAGCUCAGGAAUCCUAGCAAAGGGUGAAUUCUGACUUGUCUAGAGCCCCUGGAUUACCACAACCUUGACUGAGGGCAAGUGGAGUGGCAUGGUGGUACGGUGAGUAGCGCUGCUGUCUCACAGCCGUUGGGUGGUGCGA